Molecule: non-coding RNA, 134 nt
Organism: Triticum urartu
Lineage: Eukaryota; Viridiplantae; Streptophyta; Magnoliopsida; Poales; Poaceae
Source: Rfam
UGAAUACCCUCUUCGUUCGAAAAUACUUAUCAUCAAAAUGGACAAAAAAGAAUGUAUCUAGAACUAAAAUACAUCUAGAUACAUCUCCUUUAUUCAUUUUGAUGACAAGUAUUUCCGGACGGAGGAAGUAGAUC